AACGGAAUCAGAGGUGCGCACGCAUCGUGUACCGCGGCGGAGGAUGGCUUCCGCAGAGGCCGCGGGAAGGGGUGGUGCGCCGAAAGGCAGGGCAAACGAAGCCGCAGACCCUGUGCUUGGGCGCGGGCCGGACAGGUUCGUGACUGUCAUCGGGCAAAAUAAUCCCCGGCGGAGCGCUGAUUCACUG
This is a regulatory RNA element of Clostridium sp. CAG:226, 187 nucleotides long. It matches the Rfam family "Lysine riboswitch aptamer". Rfam says of the family: Riboswitches are metabolite binding domains within certain messenger RNAs that serve as precision sensors for their corresponding targets. Allosteric rearrangement of mRNA structure is mediated by ligand binding, and this results in modulation of gene expression. Lineage: Bacteria; Bacillati; Bacillota; Clostridia; Eubacteriales; Clostridiaceae. The record is from Rfam.